AGGUCCACGACAACUUGUUGAGCACUGUGCCCUCGGCUGUGCCAGGCACUCCAGGCACAGAGAUGAAAGCCGAGUCUUCUCUUGAGGGGUGCAGAGUCUGGGAGAGACGACAGGCCGCGCACACGGCUGUGGGAGAAGCAGCACGAGCAGGCGGUGCCCCGGGGCACAGAGGCCCAUCGAGGAGCUCAUCCCUAUUCAUGCGGCAAGGCCCAACUCAGAUGUUGCCUCCUCUGAGAAGCCACCCUGACUUUCCUCGUAGUCCUAGAACGAAUUUGUGGCCCUCUGCUCAGUGGAUUUGGAGCCUCCAGGCGAGUUGCUGCGUUGAGAAGAGUCUGUCGAGGCACAAGGUGGCAGCAGGGAGACCGGUGAUCCAGGCGAAAUAAUGGUUGCUCGUGGGACGUGAAUGCUUGCGGAAUGGAACCAAGCCGCUCCACACAGAGCUUGCUAGAAAUCGUGACUUUGUGAUUCCUUACAGAGAAUGGAAAAAUCACCACAGGAACAAAGUCUCUGAAGCAAAACCUGCCCCGAUUUUGGUGGUUGAGGUUAAGAGGAAGAUUUCUUUCUCGUCUCCGACAGGAACCUCGGAGUUCUAAAGGGAAAGCAUCCCUGGCCACACCUCAAAUUUGAUGGAGGAGUUCUCUGAAGCCCCGGGUGGUCACGUGACUGAUCCAUGGUCGCACAGCGGCUCGGUGGCCACCCGGGACUCCGGAUUCUUGCCCUGCACGGUGUCUCUCUUUCUGCUUUGUUCCUUUCUCAGGCUCUCAGAUGGGCCCCUCUCUGUUCCCAGAGCACAAAUCACUGCACCCCCAAGGUUCCUAAGGUCUGCCAUUGAGUGACUGUGGUACCUGCCAGCUCGGCGAGUUCGUGGCCAGCAGCCCAGACCUUGCCUUGUUCCCCCAGGACCCUGAGCCAGCUCUGGUCCUCUGUCCCCUUAGCAGGCGAUCUGGUUGUCUCACUCCCCAUCCGGAACAGAAUGCGACUCCAUGCCCUCCCCAUCUGCCCCCUCUGGCCUUCCCUUCUGCCUCUCUCUUGCGGGCCGCUCCUCCGCCACCCAAGCUCUAAAUGGGCUCUUUCUCCAGGCACUAGGCGCCCGUCCCUUCUCCCCUCUAUGUGCUAUCUUGGUGUGACUCUCAGUUCC
This is a long non-coding RNA of Ailuropoda melanoleuca (giant panda), 1138 nucleotides long. RefSeq lists it as uncharacterized. Lineage: Eukaryota; Metazoa; Chordata; Mammalia; Carnivora; Ursidae. The record is from RefSeq and is a predicted model, not a curated record. The transcript has 3 exons.